GUGAACUACCGCUGAGCUGAAGACUCAGCAGAUUCUUCGGAGGCUUGAGUCUUCAGUUUGGUAGCUUCGUGAGAAGCUUGAGUUCACCAGACUCAGCCCCAGAAAUGGGAGCUACGUUCGAUAGGUCAUGACACCUGCGGUUGACGCAUCAGACCGCUGCUCUGUCGCCUGGGUUUAAGUAGGACUGAGGCAAGGUCCGGUGAUUCAGGUGCAAAAAGCCUUUGAACAUUGUCGAGAUGAAGCCGGA
Molecule: non-coding RNA, 247 nt
Organism: Ktedonobacter racemifer DSM 44963
Lineage: Bacteria; Bacillati; Chloroflexota; Ktedonobacteria; Ktedonobacterales; Ktedonobacteraceae
Rfam family: HNH endonuclease-associated RNA and ORF (HEARO) RNA
Source: Rfam